GACGAACGCUGGCGGCGUGCCUAAUACAUGCAAGUUGAGCGAUGAAGAUUGGUGCCUGCACCAAUUUGAAGAGCAGCGAACGGGUGAGUAACGCGUGGGGAAUCUGCCUUUGAGCGGGGGACAACAUUUGGAAACGAAUGCUAAUACCGCAUAACAACUUUAAACAUAAGUUUUAAGUUUGAAAGAUGCAAUUGCAUCACUCAAAGAUGAUCCCGCGUUGUAUUAGCUAGUAGGUGAGGUAAAGGCUCACCAAGGCGAUGAUACAUAGCCGACCUGAGAGGGUGAUCGGCCACAUUGGGACUGAGACACGGCCCAAACUCCUACGGGAGGCAGCAGUAGGGAAUCUUCGGCAAUGGACGAAAGUCUGACCGAGCAACGCCGCGUGAGUGAAGAAGGUUUUCGGAUCGUAAAACUCUGUUGGUAGAGAAGAACGUUGGUGAGAGUGGAAAGCUCAUCAAGUGACGGUAACUACCCAGAAAGGGACGGCUAACUACGUG
This 497-nucleotide ribosomal RNA is filed under the name uncultured bacterium. Its description in RNAcentral is "partial 16S ribosomal RNA". It matches the Rfam family "Bacterial small subunit ribosomal RNA", at positions 28 to 507 of the family's 1533-position model. The record is from RNAcentral.